Molecule: long non-coding RNA, 361 nt
Organism: Rosa chinensis
Lineage: Eukaryota; Viridiplantae; Streptophyta; Magnoliopsida; Rosales; Rosaceae
Exons: 4
Source: RefSeq, a predicted model, not a curated record
CCUCGCUUCACGACCUCCCAAGCCCCCCAAAUUCUGGACCUCCGACUCCGACCAGAGCUACCGCUGGUGCGUGGACCACCGUAGCUCCGUCGCUCACAGUCGCCGGAAACGUUAGGUCUUCUCGAUUAGUUCUGCGUUUUUGGAGUUUUGGAGAAGAGGAACUAUUGGGUCAGUUCAUUGAGAAUGGAUGGAGGAAUUCGAGUGAUUGUUGGUCAAGGAGCAGUCGAGCCAGAGCAGCAAAGAUUGGAUUCGCCUUUGUUUGAAAAGGGAAGAAAUGGGAUUCGAAAGAUUGGUGAGGAUGGAGCACGACUAUGUUGGAUCGAGUUACAGUUUGGGAAAGAAGAAUGGUAAGGGCCCGAUU